This 496-nucleotide ribosomal RNA is filed under the name uncultured bacterium. RNAcentral's name for it is "partial 16S ribosomal RNA". It matches the Rfam family "Bacterial small subunit ribosomal RNA", at positions 28 to 523 of the family's 1533-position model. The record is from RNAcentral.
GACGAACGCUGACGGCGUGCUUAACACAUGCAAGUCGAACGAGAAUCUGUGGAAAGAGGAUUCGUCCAAUUGAAGCAGAGGACAGUGGCGGACGGGUGAGUAACGCGUGAGGAACCUGCCUUUCAGAGGGGGACAACAGUUGGAAACGACUGCUAAUACCGCAUGACACAUAGGUGUCGCAUGGCACUUAUGUCAAAGAUUUAUCGCUGAAAGAUGGCCUCGCGUCUGAUUAGCUAGUUGGUGAGGUAACGGCCCACAAAGGCGACGAUCAGUAGCCGGACUGAGAGGUUGCACGGCCAGAUUGGGACUGAGAUACGGCCCAGACGCCUACGGGAGUCAGCAGGGGAGAAUAUUGGUCAAUGGGCGCAAGCCUGACCCAGCAACGCCGCGUGAAGGAAGAAGGCUUUCGGGUUGUAAACUUCUUUUGUCAGGGACGAAUAGAAGACGGUACCUGACGAAUAAGCCACGGCUAACUACGUGCCAGCCGCCGCGGUAA